Molecule: ribosomal RNA, 478 nt
Filed under: uncultured bacterium
Lineage: Bacteria
Description: partial 16S ribosomal RNA
Rfam family: Bacterial small subunit ribosomal RNA
Source: RNAcentral
GACGAACGCUGGCGGCGUGCUUAACACAUGCAAGUCGAACGGUAAGGCCCUUCGGGGUACACGAGUGGCGAACGGGUGAGUAACACGUGGGUGAUCUGCCCUGCACUUCGGGAUAAGCCUGGGAAACUGGGUCUAAUACCGGAUAGGACCCUGGGAUGCAUGUCCUGGGGUGGAAAGCUUUUGCGGUGUGGGAUGGGCCCGCGGCCUAUCAGCUUGUUGGUGGGGUGAUGGCCUACCAAGGCGACGACGGGUAGCCGGCCGGAGAGGGGGACCGGCCCCACUGGGACUGAGAUACGGCCCAGCAUCCUACGGGAGGCAGCAGUGGGGGAUAUUGCACAAUGGGCGCAAGCCUGAUGCAGCGACGCCGCGUGAGGGAUGACGGCCUUCGGGUUGUAAACCUCUUUCAGCACCGACGAAGCGCAAGUGACGGUAGGUGCAGAAGAAGGACCGGCCAACUACGUGCCAGCAGCCGCGGUAA